This 388-nucleotide ribosomal RNA is filed under the name Heterogenella bigibbata. RNAcentral's name for it is "partial 12S ribosomal RNA". Lineage: Eukaryota; Metazoa; Arthropoda; Insecta; Diptera; Cecidomyiidae. The record is from RNAcentral.
UAUUAUUUAAUUAAUUUUAUCCUUAAAAGUAGUAAUUUUUAUAAAUCGAAAUUAAUUAAAUUUGGCAGUAUUUUAUUCUAUUUAGAGGAACUUGUUUUAUAAUAGAUAAUCCACAAUAAAUUUUACUUAGUUUAAUUAUUUUGUAUACCAUUGUCAAAAAUUUAUCUUUAAAGAGAAUUAAAUUUUUAAAAUUUUUUUUUUUAAAAACAUGUCAAAUCAAGGUGCAGUUUAUAAUUAAGAAAUUAAUGAGUUACAAUAAAUUUAUUUAUAUAGAAUAUGAAUUGAAAAAUUAAUAUGAAAUUGGAUUUAAUAGUAAAUUUAUUAAAAUAAUUAUUUUGAAAUUAUUUUAAAAUAUGUACAUAUUGCCCGUCACUUUCUUUUAGAAUAA